CCUACGGGGGGCUGCAGUGGGGAGUAUUGCACAAUGGGCGCAAGCCUGAUGCAGCCAUGCCGCGUGUGUGAAGAAGGCCUUCGGGUUGUAAAGCACUUUCAGCGGGGAGGAAGGCGUUAAGGUUAAUAACCUUGGCGAUUGACGUUACCCGCAGAAGAAGCACCGGCUAACUCCGUGCCAGCAGCCGCGGUAAUACGGAGGGUGCAAGCGUUAAUCGGAAUUACUGGGCGUAAAGCGCACGCAGGCGGUCUGUCAAGUCGGAUGUGAAAUCCCCGGGCUCAACCUGGGAACUGCAUUCGAAACUGGCAGGCUAGAGUCUUGUAGAGGGGGGUAGAAUUCCAGGUGUAGCGGUGAAAUGCGUAGAGAUCUGGAGGAAUACCGGUGGCGAAGGCGGCCCCCUGGACAAAGACUGACGCUCAGGUGCGAAAGCGUGGGGAGCAAACAGGAUUAGAUACCCGGGUAGUC
Molecule: ribosomal RNA, 465 nt
Filed under: uncultured Klebsiella sp.
Lineage: Bacteria; Pseudomonadati; Pseudomonadota; Gammaproteobacteria; Enterobacterales; Enterobacteriaceae
Description: bacterial SSU rRNA
Rfam family: Bacterial small subunit ribosomal RNA
Source: RNAcentral